CGCACCUUGCACUCUUUGGUAUUCCGGAGAGUAUGCCUGUUUGAGUGUCGUGAAACCCUCAACCCCCCUAUUUUGUAAUGAAGCAGGCGUGGGCUUGGAUUCUGGCUGUUCUGCCGGCCCUGUCACAGGGUCAGCUCAGCUGAAAUAUACGAGCGGCUUGUAUUUCGGUACCAUAGAAAGCUUCACUCGGCGUAAUAACAUAUAUUCUCGUCAAGUUGAAUGCAGUCUUAUCGUUAGACGGCGCUUAUAAUUGGCUUCACCUUGUGAAACACUUGAACUUUAGACCUCAAAUCAGGCAGGAUUACCCGCUGAACUUAA
This 318-nucleotide unclassified non-coding RNA is filed under the name Erythrobasidium sp. RNAcentral's name for it is "partial contains 5.8S ribosomal RNA, internal transcribed spacer 2, and large subunit ribosomal RNA". The record is from RNAcentral. Lineage: Eukaryota; Fungi; Basidiomycota; Cystobasidiomycetes; Erythrobasidiales; Erythrobasidiaceae.